RNAcentral lists this ribosomal RNA (1580 nucleotides) under Callosciurus erythraeus (Pallas's squirrel). RNAcentral's name for it is "16S ribosomal RNA". It matches the Rfam family "Bacterial large subunit ribosomal RNA". The record is from RNAcentral. Lineage: Eukaryota; Metazoa; Chordata; Mammalia; Rodentia; Sciuridae.
ACCAGUCCUAGCCCAUUCAACUUCAACCUUACCUAACAACCAUACUACAUUAAAACAAAACAUUUAUCUCUAUAAAAGUAUAGGAGAUAGAAAUUAUACCUUGGAGCUAUAUAGCUAGUACCGCAAGGGAAAGAUGAAAGAAACAACUUAUAGUAAAACAAAGCAAAGACUAAUCCUUCUACCUUUUGCAUAAUGAAUUAACUAGACACUACUUCGCAAAAAGAAUUUAAGUCAAGCGCCCCGAAACCAGACGAGCUACUUAUGGGCAGCUAAAAGAGCCAAUCCGUCUAUGUAGCAAAAUAGUGGAAUGACCUGCAAGUAGAGGUGAAAAGCCUACCGAGCCUGGUGAUAGCUGGUUGUCCAGAAUAAGAAUUUUAGUUCGACGUUAAAUUUGCCUCAAGAACCCAUAAUCCAAAUGUAAAUUUAACUGCUAAUCUAAAGAGGGACAGCUCUUUAGACAUAGGAAAAAACCUUUAUUAGAGAGUAAACCCAACAGAUAUCAUAGUUGGCCUAAAAGCAGCCACCAAUUAAAAAAGCGUUCAAGCUUAACCAAACGAACACAACUUAAUCUAAAUAUUAAUGAUCACCUCCUAAUAUAAUACUGGACCAAUCUAUAAUUUAACCAUAGAAGAAAUAAUGUUAAUAUGAGUAACAAGAAAAAUAUUUCUCCCUGCAUAAGCUUAUAUCAGUCCGAAUAAAUCACUGAUAGUUAACAUACCUAUAAUUUAAUCCAUUUAUACCAACUUUUAUUAACUACAAUGUUAAUCCAACACCGGCAUGCACUUCAAGGGAAAGAUUAAAAAAAGUAAAAGGAACUCGGCAAACACUAACCCCGCCUGUUUACCAAAAACAUCACCUCUAGCAUAACCAGUAUUAGAGGCACUGCCUGCCCAGUGAUCUACAUUAAACGGCCGCGGUAUCCUGACCGUGCAAAGGUAGCAUAAUCAUUUGUUCUUUAAAUAGGGACUUGCAUGAACGGCUAAACGAGGGUUAAUCUGUCUCUUACUUUUAAUCAGUGAAAUUGACCUUCCCGUGAAGAGGCGGGAAUAAACAAAUAAGACGAGAAGACCCUAUGGAGCUUAAAUUUAUUAACCCAAGUAACUACCCACAACUAAUCUACAAGAUUUUAAUCUACAUUACUCAUGGGUUAAAAAUUUUGGUUGGGGUGACCUCGGAGCAUAAAACAACCUCCGAAUGAUUAUAAUUAAGACUAAACUUGUCUAAAUCCAUGCUCAUCAAUUGACCCAAACCUUUGAUCAACGGAACAAGUUACCCUAGGGAUAACAGCGCAAUCCUACUCGAGAGUCCAUAUCGACAGUAGGGUUUACGACCUCGAUGUUGGAUCAGGACAUCCUAAUGGUGCAGCCGCUAUUAAUGGUUCGUUUGUUCAACGAUUAAAGUCCUACGUGAUCUGAGUUCAGACCGGAGAAAUCCAGGUCGGUUUCUAUCUAUUAUAAAUUUCUCCCAGUACGAAAGGACAAGAGAAAUGAGGCCAAUUUUUAUAACAUGCCUUAUAGACGAUAGAUGAUAUAAUCUCAAUCUAAUUAACUAUGCACACAAUCCACCCUAGAACAGGGUUA